UCCCUCCCAAAGCUGCGCGCUCUGCUGAAGAGGACGACCUUCCCCGAUAGAAGGAAGACCGUCCUUCGGUCAAGGGUAUACGAGUAGCUGCGCUCCCCUGCUAGAACCUCCAAACAAGUCUCAAGGUCCAGC
This 132-nucleotide small RNA is filed under the name Echinops telfairi (small Madagascar hedgehog). Its description in RNAcentral is "7SK RNA (ENSETEG00000026882.1)". It matches the Rfam family "7SK RNA", at positions 116 to 248 of the family's 331-position model. From Rfam's summary of the family: 7SK was discovered as an abundant small nuclear RNA in the mid-70s but a possible function has only recently been suggested. Two independent studies have found that 7SK RNA binds the CDK9/cyclin T complex (known as elongation factor P-TEFb). Lineage: Eukaryota; Metazoa; Chordata; Mammalia; Afrosoricida; Tenrecidae. The record is from RNAcentral.